UACAGAGGUCUCAAGCGUUGUUCGGAUUCAUUGGGCGUAAAGGGUGCGUAGGUGGCGGGGUAAGUUGGAUGUGAAAUCUCGGAGCUCAACUCCGAAACUGCAUUCAAUACUGCCUUGCUGGAGUACUGGGGAGGAGAUUGGAAUUUACGGUGUAGCAGUGAAAUGCGUAGAUAUCGUAAGGAAGACCAGUGGCGAAGGCGGAUCUCUGGACAGUUACUGACACUGAGGCACGAAGGCCAGGGGAGCAAACGGG
Molecule: ribosomal RNA, 253 nt
Filed under: uncultured bacterium
Lineage: Bacteria
Description: partial 16S ribosomal RNA
Rfam family: Bacterial small subunit ribosomal RNA
Source: RNAcentral